CUCGAGGGGUACCCCUUUAUUCCAGGUAUUCUUCUCAAAAUGUCACACGCAAUGAUGCAAAUUCAACACAAAAAUCCUUGUUGUGGAUAUCAUUUCCUUCAAAACAAAGUCAUCCUCUUUCUCUCUCUCUCCCUCUCUCUCUCUCUCUCUCGCUCUCUCUCUCUCUACCAUCAUUUGCCAGUUACAAUCACACUCUUUUCAUGACAGAGGAGGAGGAGGAGGAAAUCCACAUGAUCUUCAACAACCAACCCAAAUAAUCCCAAAACCAGAUAGCCAACUUUCUGCUCAAAUGGGGCUUCAAAGCCGUCGCCUUUGAUAUCAGAUACGCCGGUAGAUUCGCAGCAAUGCCUUCAGGCUUCACGGUGUAGUUGCUGACUCAAAGGGUCCCUUCCAAUUCAUCUGCAGAAUCGGAUUUCGUUUGCGUUGUUCUUCUGCAGGAACAUCGUUCUUGCAUCAAGAUCCAUUUACCGAGUAUAUGGAACUAUGUUAAGCUUUGUAAGGGGUGCUCUCAUCUCCGGCUCUACCGGCACCCAGGACAGGAUGGAUGCACCAAUUUCAUGAGGGCAAGCCCCGGGCAUCUGCCUGGUGUGGUAAAGUGCACUGAUCGAAUUCAUACAGCUCGAAUUACUGCAAUUCAGUCCAACAAUCGCUUCGUGUUCAGGAAAAGGAAUUUGUUUGCUUUCUUGGCAGGAUUUAUGUAAGCGGUUUAAACGCGGCAUGAGAUCAACACUGUAAGCUAUAAAUCUCCAGCUUCAUACAGGAGGGACUGAAUCAGGACAAGUUCAUAACAUGAAAUAAGACGAUGAAAUCAACAAAAUUGUACAUUUCUAGAUGUCAUCUGCUAUAAGCAACUUUACAUUUGAGCAACAAUCUAUCAGGUUCAGACUAUUAACUGCUGAAACAAAGAGUCUCUUCUCAAACCGUAUCUGGAACACUAAAUCGAGAUGUUUUUACAGAUGGAUGUGCCUAAAGUUACGCAUGAAAAACCCUAAAUUCGAUCAAACAGAAAGCCUAUGUAGUCGACAUCAUCACCGCAUGUGUUCCUGCUGCCUUCAAAGCCGACCAGCCAAAGAUCAUCCCAUUGUGGACUCAAAGUCUGUACCGUGAUGCUUUCAACAACGCUACUUGUUCCCGUUGCUAUCCAUCCAUUGACCGACUGUGCAGAAACGUGUGCUCUCCAUCUGCUUUGAAGAAAAAAUAGAAAGAAAUAAGCAGAAUUCAAACAGCUUAAUCACAAAUCAUGGUCAUAACGUUUGUUCAUCUUCCCUUAUUGCAAGUAUGCAUAAACAAAUGUAUUGGGGGGAGGUGGGGUGGGAACCGGCAGGACAGUAUUUGGAUCUGGUGUGAUGCUCGUAUAAUUAUUAUCGAGUAAUCCAUCCAUCUUGAGGGAUCCAUUUUAUUUACGAGUCUUGAUUAAUAUAACAAGGUCUCAGUCAUUUUGUACA
This is a non-coding RNA of Malus domestica (apple), 1445 nucleotides long. NCBI's taxonomy places the organism in Eukaryota, Viridiplantae, Streptophyta, Magnoliopsida, Rosales, Rosaceae. The record is from RefSeq and is a predicted model, not a curated record.